RNAcentral lists this ribosomal RNA (455 nucleotides) under uncultured bacterium. RNAcentral's name for it is "partial 16S ribosomal RNA". It matches the Rfam family "Bacterial small subunit ribosomal RNA", at positions 355 to 801 of the family's 1533-position model. The record is from RNAcentral.
UGGGGAAUAUUGGACAAUGGGCGAAAGCCUGAUCCAGCCAUGCCGCGUGUGUGAAGAAGGUCUUCGGAUUGUAAAGCACUUUAAGUUGGGAGGAAGGGCAGUAAAUUAAUACUUUGCUGUUUUGACGUUACCGACAGAAUAAGCACCGGCUAACUCUGUGCCAGCAGCCGCGGUAAUACAGAGGGUGCAAGCGUUAAUCGGAAUUACUGGGCGUAAAGCGCGCGUAGGUGGUUCGUUAAGUUGGAUGUGAAAUCCCCGGGCUCAACCUGGGAACUGCAUUCAAAACUGACGAGCUAGAGUAUGGUAGAGGGUGGUGGAAUUUCCUGUGUAGCGGUGAAAUGCGUAGAUAUAGGAAGGAACACCAGUGGCGAAGGCGACCACCUGGACUGAUACUGACACUGAGGUGCGAAAGCGUGGGGAGCAAAGCAGGAUUAGAUACCCUGGUAGUCCACGCC